This 346-nucleotide ribosomal RNA is filed under the name uncultured bacterium. RNAcentral describes it as "bacterial SSU rRNA". It matches the Rfam family "Bacterial small subunit ribosomal RNA", at positions 76 to 422 of the family's 1533-position model. The record is from RNAcentral.
GGGGCAACUCCAGUUCAGUGGCGGACGGGUGCGUAACACGUGAGGAACAUGACUUUCGGCGGGGGAUAGCCGGCCCAACGGCCGGGUAAUACCGCGUACGACCUCUCGGGGACAUCCCCGGUUGGUGAAAGCAGCAGUGCACCGAAAGAGUGCCUCGCGGCCUAUCAGCUAGUUGGUGAGGUAAUGGCUCACCAAGGCGACGACGGGUAGCUGGUCUGAGAGGAUGGCCAGCCACAUUGGGACUGAGACACGGCCCAGACUCCUACGGGAGGCAGCAGUGGGGAAUAUUGCGCAAUGGGCGAAAGCCUGACGCAGCGACGCCGCGUGUGGGAUGACGGCCUUCGGG